GGAUUCCCCNCAGUAAGGGCGACUGAAAAGGGAUGAGCCCAGCGCAUAAUCUGGUCCACCUGAGGCGGGUGGGCGAGAGGUGUUGCGUAUCGGAGGGGUCCGGCACGGCCAGCCAUCCCGCCUAAGUUUUGACUUGAACGUGCCCAAACCCGCGGAGGGUGAAAGGCCCGUAUGGCGUUGCCUCCCAGUAAGGAUGAUGUGCAGGCCGGAAAGGAUCCCUCUGUUGAGUCGGGUUGCUUAAUAGUGCAGCCCUAAGACAGGUGGUAAACUCCAUCUAAGGCUAAAUACUACCACGAGACCGAUAGUGAACAAGUACCGUGAGGGAAAGUUGAAAAGAACUUUGAAGAGAGAGUUCAAUAGUACGUGAAACCGUUAAGAGGUAAACGGAUGGACGCCAGAAGGUCGAAGAGGGGGAUUCAGCUUGUUUGGUAUGGGCGGGCUCACAGGUUGUGACUGUGGCCUCGGGCCCUCAAGGGUUCGUGUGUCAUGGCUCGCUGUGGUGCUGAUCAGCAUGCCAUCUUGCGGAUUUCUCCCUUGGUAGGUCGUCGCGAGCCGUUGCGCAGCGUCAGGGCCCGACGGGAUUGGUAAUCGAAUGGUGCAUCGCUGCAUCCCUGUGGUGUGUGGUGCGUUGUUUGGUGAAACCCUCGGUAUACCCCGAGUGUCGCGCGACGGUUCCUCCCCGGGGCUACGGCUCUCGCGGCGUAUUUCCAGUCGGCGUUCCAUCCGCCCCGUCUUGAAACACGGACCAAGGAGUCUAACAUGUGCGCGAGCCUAAGGGUGUACUAAACCUACAGGCGCAAUGAAAGUGAAGUUGCUUGGCGCCCCCGUUGGAGUGGGCUGCUCUCCCGCAGUAGGCGGGCAGCGACAGCAUUGUUGCUGGCCGUGUGUUGCAUUACGGGUUGGGCAUGUCGUGUCUGCGGAGUGGCAGCCUUUGGGUCGAUCCCGCUGCCAUGAUGCAGUGUGGCGCAGACCCCGGACUUGCAUACGGACCCCUGGGUGUCCUUUUGCGGUCCUCUCCGGAGGGUGGCAAGAGGCCUUUGGGCUUGUCCGCAAGUACCGUGAGUGUACAUGUUAGGACCCGAAAGAUGGUGAACUAUGCCUGGCCAGGAUGAAGCCAGAGGAAACUCUGGUGGAGGUCCGAAGCGCUUCUGACGUGCAAAUCGAUCGUCGGAGCUGGGUAUAGGGGCGAAAGACUAAUCGAACCAUCUAGUAGCUGGUUCCCUCCGAAGUUUCCCUCAGGAUAGCUGGCGGUCUUUUUUGGGAAUUUCACCUGGUAAAGCUAAUGAUUAGAGGUGUUGGGGACGAAACGUCCUCAACCUAUUCUCAAACUUUAAAUGGGUGAGGGACCGGACUUGCUUGAAGCGGAGCCGGUCUCUGUCGAGGUGUGGGCUCUUCCUUGUGUUGAUGAAGUCCCGGUCGACAAUCCCGACUGCCCAGUGGGCCGUUUUUGGUAAGCAGAAUGGCNGCUGUGGA
This 1473-nucleotide ribosomal RNA is filed under the name Microprosthema inornatum. RNAcentral describes it as "eukaryotic LSU rRNA". It matches the Rfam family "Eukaryotic large subunit ribosomal RNA", at positions 72 to 1162 of the family's 3401-position model. The record is from RNAcentral. Lineage: Eukaryota; Metazoa; Arthropoda; Malacostraca; Decapoda; Macromaxillocarididae.